UCAUCAUCACCGAUAUCCGGCCCGAACGGAUCGAACUCGUCUGCAAGAAGAGCUAGAGCUUAGUAUGGAAACUAUGGUACUGGCCGGCUUGGACGCACCUGCCGCCAGGCUGCUGAACUCAUGCUCAAAGAAAUCCACACCAGCCGGAUAAUGCACACGCUGCGGCGCCGGCUGCUGUCCGACGACGCUUUCUCUGCCCGGCGCGGCAGUCAACGCGGCGGGCAACAAUAAAAGCGACUGCAACAGCAGCGCUAGCAGCGGCAACAAAGAUUUGGAGCGACGCCAUGCCCGCGUGGCCGCAAUCCAAGCCAGAAACCGUACCGAACCGAACCGCUGCGCGCAAAGACGUUAACUAAACUCGCCGCCAGCUAUCGCCGACAUUGAGGCCCGCGCGCGCGCGACUUGUAUUUAAUUUAUGCAAAAAGUGCGAAAAUAAAAACUAAAUAAUGUUGGCCAUCCGCCGUCAGGUGGAUCGGUAUAUCGGUAUCGCUUGAUACCGGGCUUUGCAGACUUUGCAAACCAAAUCCAACAUCAUCUAUCAGCUGUACGCGUCGCAGAGCUCCAGCGAUCGUCACCACCACCUGCUCACCUGUCCGACUGACUGGGCGACUCUUGUAAUUUAAUGCCGCAAUGGGAAAGAGCGAUGGGCAAGUGAACGGCCUACGUUUUGCCAUACACUUUAAAUCCGGAAAGUCGCCCAAUCAAAUUUGAAGAUCCCAUUUAAAUUAUAAAUAAUUAUUCAUCAAGUAUUCAGCUGAAUUCCACCAACUGAAUUACAUCAAUAUAAAGAAAAAUGCAUCAUUAAUUCACGACAAAUUUGCAAGUGCAUGAAUUAAAGCUUCAUGUUUGCAAAAUAGAUUGCAACACUUAGACGCCCAUAAAGGGUUCUAUUGAAAAAUACAAUCGUCAGCAAAAUUCAAUUUCUGUCACGGUCAUCAUGUUUAAAUUGAAAAGCGUGCUGUUGCCGAUUUAUUCACUGUGAAUCAUCAGCAAUUAAGGAAACAAAAAUAAAACAACAAAUUUUUAUCAUACUUUGAACCGGCGACUUUCCGCGUGCUGCUCCGACGCUCAGCUCCUUUCGUUAUGCGCAUCAAUUACCAAUCGGACACCUGCGUUGGCUUUCUGCUUGGCGGCAUUGGCGAAGUCAACGAGGAGCGUCAGUCGAACUUUAUGGUUGUCGAGAAAGACACCAGCGCCGCGGCCAUAGACGAGUGCUUCAAGCGCUUCGUGGCACGCGAGGAUAUCGCCAUCAUAAUGAUCAAUCAGAUAUAUGCGGACAUGAUACGCGCCACCAUCGACAAGCACCUGCUGCCUGUGCCCACUGUGCUGGAGAUACCCUCGAAGCAGCAGCCGUACGACGUUAACAAGGACUCCAUACUGAAGCGUGCGCAUCGAAACUUAAGAGGAACCAAAUCGUAUAGGCAAAAUAUUAAAAUUCAUUUAUUCUUUGAAAAAAGAGCUCUUUCCUCAAAAUUAUCCACGGAAGAUCACAGCGACAGCGAGCUGGUGAACAUAUUCAAGUUCCUGCAGCGGGCCGUCGAGACCUUUGGCCGCAAUCAUGGCCUGCAGCUGGCGCUGCCCAAGGAGACGGGCGCCCGGGUGCUGGACGAGGCGGGCAUUCGGACAAAUUCUUAUACACAAUUUUUGGUCGAAAGGAAUUAGGGCGAUAUGUAUAAAUGAAUAUUCUCGGAUUAAUUUAGCAACAUAUGUUGGUGCUUAUAUUAUUAAAUGCAUAAUCCAUCCAGUUGAACUAAAAUAUUGUGUGACAAGGAUUAAGGAAAAAAGGCAUAAGGACUCUGCUGCAGCAUCAACAACAACAACAACAACAGCAACAACAACUUCAUAUAAGUAAAGUCCCAUGAGUGCAUUUCAUGCUGCACGUUGAAUGAAUGAACAGCAAGUGCUAUAACUACAGAGACAGUUACAGAUACUUAGUUAUAGCUACUAACAAGGGAAAACAAGAGAACAAUAAGUGCGACACAUAGCUGGAGGCAAAGGGGCCACAUAAUCAGGGUCGAGACAUGAUAAUCGCCAUGAAUCGCACUGAAUUUGGAACAUUGCCGCAAUUCGAAAGCUCAGCGGAGAUAUUUAAAGCGAUUGCGAGAAACAGCAAUUUUGAUCUGAUUGGGGAACGCCGGCACUUGGCAAAUUUUCCCUCGCUACACACAGGCGAUGUCAGCAGCAGCAGCAGCAGCAGCAUCAGCAACAGCAUCAGCAACAACAUCAACAACAGCAGCAA
RNAcentral lists this unclassified non-coding RNA (2239 nucleotides) under Drosophila virilis. RNAcentral's name for it is "GJ14240". The record is from RNAcentral. Lineage: Eukaryota; Metazoa; Arthropoda; Insecta; Diptera; Drosophilidae.